AGUGCCGGUCCGGCCCAUAGGUUGAGUCGUAACACUUUCCUAUCGUCUUCUUUCUCUGAUCCGUCUCUCAACUAGUUAUAUUUCAUUGCUAUUUAUCAAAAAGAGGGAAUAUAUUUUUUUUUUAUUGUUAAAGUGCCAAUAUGGCAUCUCUAGUUAAGCUUUUGGCUAGAAUUUCUAAUGAAAUCUGGCCAUAAGGACUUUGAAUGGUGUCAAAUUGAAAUUAAAUGUUUUUUGUAAUAUAAAUUGAAGUUGAAAGAUGGCGAUGAAAUAAUCCUAUAAGUUGAAGAAUGAGUAAAAUUAAGCUCAAUAGGUCAAGAUAAUGAGUGAAAUUAA
Molecule: unclassified non-coding RNA, 333 nt
Filed under: Hevea brasiliensis (rubber tree)
Lineage: Eukaryota; Viridiplantae; Streptophyta; Magnoliopsida; Malpighiales; Euphorbiaceae
Source: RNAcentral